GUUUGUUUUUUCAAGAACGAGAUAUUGAUAGUUGAUGGACUUAAAGGUUUUGAAGCUAUUUCGUCUGAGGUUUUUGGUCGAUUUCCACUCCUAGCCCAGAAGAGAAGGGACCAAAGAUAAUUUUAUGCUAAUUAAGUUGUUUGUUAUAUCCAAUUCUUAAAGACAAGUAUGUAUUUGAAAUUUGGUAAGAUCUUCCCUCUUGUGAAAGAAAGGAAGGUAAUAAGACACGCUAGAAGGACUCUGAGGGAAGAAAGAAAGUCGUUCUAGUGAGGUGCAAUGCUGAAACUAUGAUCGAUAAACAAACCCUACAGAAGUCAGAAUGGGAUACUUCACUAAGGAAGCAACAUCGACGGUUAACUAUACUAUAGGCAUUUUGAGUUGCAUUUGGGUGUGGAAUGGAUAGGCCCUAAGUGGGCAAAUUCCUUUUUUUUAGGAACACAUACAAGAUUCAUCACUACAAAAAGAAUAAUGGCAUUUAUUCCCGAUCCCUCCUAAAAUGUGGAUGAUAUAACUUGAUAUUUGACAAGAGAUAAAGGAAUUAGAUGCAACGUUACCAUCUUCAGAGAUUAAAGUUGAAAUUUGGGUCUAUAAAUUUGCAACUUCUCAUAAAUUGUUGUAAACUUCGCAAAUCAGCACAAAUGUCUAAAGGUACUGUUCACCAAACUAGGCAACAGCAUGGCUGGGACACUACGUCCGAUGAUUAUCAUGCCUAUAUUUCAAAAUUAUCAAGGAUGCCAAGUGUUCUCCAUGGUGCUCCCCAGUACCCAAGCGUGCGCAAGGCCUUCAACAACAAGGUAAUUUAAGAAGAAGAGAUUAUCGAGGCUCGCCAAGAUUAUGUAAUCAACAAGAGGAAUCCCACCAAGUCUCCCAAGAAGGUUCAGGUGACGGAGCAAGUGCAAAUUAUAGAACAAAAUGGGAAUCAGAAAUCAGAAGUUAUCGAAGAAACUGUUGAUCAUGAAGCUGAAGGCUUCAUCCAGCAGAAACACAAGGGCCUUGAACUGUGCAAAUGGAAGACCUUCAAGUUGCCAUAGGCUAGGAGCGCAUGUCGGUUGUGCUUAGAUUACAGGCAAAGUAUAUCUCAGCUACAGUGUUGUAACCAACACAGCUAUUUAAAUAAAAAAGGCCUGUCUUCUUGCGGCUGCAGAACUUCUUUCAGGAUUGUUUGGAUAUAGCAUGCCAAGAUAAUUUAACUAUUUUAUAUUGCAAUAAGACAACAUAGUAUAAUAUAUAACUUUUCGUCGCUGCUUAUUUGUGAAUCCAGGGCUUCAUAAGCUGCAAUUUUUGUGCUGCAAUUGAGCCUUUAACAAAUAAAUUGUCAAUGUGACGAGUGUUACAGAAACUAAACUUUAGAGAAAAUUACAAACGAUGCUUCGCCUUAUUAUUAUUAUUACAUCAAGUUCUGAA
Long non-coding RNA from Populus trichocarpa (black cottonwood), 1404 nucleotides. RefSeq lists it as uncharacterized. The transcript is spliced from 2 exons. The record is from RefSeq and is a predicted model, not a curated record. NCBI's taxonomy places the organism in Eukaryota, Viridiplantae, Streptophyta, Magnoliopsida, Malpighiales, Salicaceae.